This 228-nucleotide unclassified non-coding RNA is filed under the name uncultured fungus. RNAcentral's name for it is "sequence contains ITS1, 5.8S rRNA gene". The stretch from base 180 to 228 matches the Rfam family "5.8S ribosomal RNA", at positions 1 to 49 of the family's 154-position model. The record is from RNAcentral. Lineage: Eukaryota; Fungi.
UUUCCGUAGGUGAACCUGCGGAGGGAUCAUUACCGAGUGAGGGCCUCCGGGCUCGACCUCCAACCCUUUGUGAACACAACUUGUUGCUUCGGGGGCGACCCUGCCGUUUCGACGGCGAGCGCCCCCGAAGGUCUCCAAACACUGCAUCUUUGCGUCGGAGUUUAACACAAAUGAAACAAAACUUUCAACAACGGAUCUCUUGGUUCCAGCAUCGAUGAAGAACGCAGC